GUAAAUAUAGUUUAAACAAAAUCCUAGAUUGUGAAUCUAGUAAUAAAGGCUCAAACCCUUUUAUUUACC
This 69-nucleotide transfer RNA is filed under the name Mirza coquereli (Coquerel's mouse lemur). Its description in RNAcentral is "tRNA-His". It matches the Rfam family "tRNA". Rfam says of the family: Transfer RNA (tRNA) molecules are approximately 80 nucleotides in length. Lineage: Eukaryota; Metazoa; Chordata; Mammalia; Primates; Cheirogaleidae. The record is from RNAcentral.